Molecule: ribosomal RNA, 492 nt
Filed under: uncultured bacterium
Lineage: Bacteria
Description: partial 16S ribosomal RNA
Rfam family: Bacterial small subunit ribosomal RNA
Source: RNAcentral
AGUGAACGCUGGCGGUAGGCCUAACACAUGCAAGUCGAACGGCAGCACAGUAAGAGCUUGCUCUUACGGGUGGCGAGUGUCGGACGGGUGAGGAAUACAUCGGAAUCUACUUUUUCGUGGGGGAUAACGUAGGGAAACUUACGCUAAUACCGCAUACGACCUACGGGUGAAAGCAGGGGAUCUUCGGACCUUGCGCGAUUGAAUGAGCCGAUGUCGGAUUAGCUAGUUGGCGGGGUAAAGGACCACCAAGGCGACGAUCCGUAGCUGGUCUGAGAGGAUGAUCAGCCACACUGGAACUGAGACACGGUCCAGACUCCUACGGGAGGCAGCAGUGGGGAAUAUUGGACAAUGGGCGCAAGCCUGAUCCAGCCAUACCGCGUGGGUGAAGAAGGCCUUCGGGUUGUAAAGCCCUUUUGUUGGGAAAGAAAAGCAGCAGGUUAAUACCCCGCUGUUCUGACGGUACCCAAAGAAUAAGCACCGGCUAACUUCGUG